CAGGGAAUCUUCCACAAUGGGCGAAAGCCUGAUGGAGCGACGCCGCGUGAGGGAUGAAGGCUCUAGGGUCGUAAACCUCUUUUCUUAGGGAAGAGCAAGGACGGUACCUAAGGAAUAAGUGACGGCUAACUCCGUGCCAGCAGCCGCGGUAAGACGGGGGAGGCAAGCGUUGUUCGGAAUUAUUGGGCGUAAAGAGCGCGUAGGUGGUUUUUUAAGUCAAAUGUGAAAACCUCAGGCUUAACUUGAGGACUGCAUGUGAAACUGGAAAACUUGAGUGCAGUAGAGGAAAGUGGAAUUCCUGGUGUAGCGGUGAAAUGCGCAGAUAUCAGGAAGAACACCAGUGGCGAAGGCGGCUUUCUGGGCUGCUACUGACGCUGAGGCGCGAAAGCUAGGGGAGCGAACGGG
RNAcentral lists this ribosomal RNA (405 nucleotides) under uncultured bacterium. RNAcentral's name for it is "bacterial SSU rRNA". It matches the Rfam family "Bacterial small subunit ribosomal RNA", at positions 355 to 776 of the family's 1533-position model. The record is from RNAcentral.